Arachis ipaensis is the source of this 203-nucleotide non-coding RNA. The record is from RefSeq and is a predicted model, not a curated record. Lineage: Eukaryota; Viridiplantae; Streptophyta; Magnoliopsida; Fabales; Fabaceae.
AAUAUAUAUUAUUUGUUAUGAUUGUUUCUUAUUUUAUAUAUUUUGUAGAAGUUGCACCCACACGUGAUCUCAAUGAAGAAGAUUCUGGUGUUGAGUCUGAUUGAGUACAUCUUGUUAUGGUUGGUUUGCAUUAAGAAUUUUAGCUAUUUUGUUGGAGAAGACACCAUAACUUUGCUAUCAUUUUAAUGACAAUUUAUUUUUAU